UAAACCAUGCACCGAAGCUGCGGCAGCGACACUAUGUGUUGUUGGGUAGGGGAGCGUUCUGUAAGCCUGCGAAGGUGUGCUGUGAGGCAUGCUGGAGGUAUCAGAAGUGCGAAUGCUGACAUAAGUAACGAUAAAGCGGGUGAAAAGCCCGCUCGCCGGAAGACCAAGGGUUCCUGUCCAACGUUAAUCGGGGCAGGGUGAGUCGACCCCUAAGGCGAGGCCGAAAGGCGUAGUCGAUGGGAAACAGGUUAAUAUUCCUGUACUUGGUGUUACUGCGAAGGGGGGACGGAGAAGGCUAUGUUAGCCGGGCGACGGUUGUCCCGGUUUAAGCAUGUAGGCUGGUUAUCCAGGCAAAUCCGGAUAAUCAAGGCUGAGGUGUGAUGACGAGGCACUACGGUGCUGAAGUAACAAAUGCCCUGCUUCCAGGAAAAGCCUCUAAGCAUCAGGUAACAUCAAAUCGUACCCCAAACCGACACAGGUGGUCAGGUAGAGAAUACCAAGGCGCUUGAGAGAACUCGGGUGAAGGAACUAGGCAAAAUGGUGCCGUAACUUCGGGAGAAGGCACGCUGGUGUGUAGGUGAAGUCCCUGCGGAUGGAGCUGAGACCAGUCGAAGAUACCAGCUGGCUGCAACUGUUUAUUAAAAACACAGCACUGUGCAAACACGAAAGU
This 670-nucleotide ribosomal RNA is filed under the name Klebsiella pneumoniae. RNAcentral describes it as "partial 23S ribosomal RNA". It matches the Rfam family "Bacterial large subunit ribosomal RNA", at positions 1183 to 1838 of the family's 2925-position model. The record is from RNAcentral. Lineage: Bacteria; Pseudomonadati; Pseudomonadota; Gammaproteobacteria; Enterobacterales; Enterobacteriaceae.